AACCUAGCACACCUGCGGUGUGUACCUGCGGAGGGAUCAUUACAAGUGACCCCGGUCUAACCACCGGGAUGUUCAUAACCCUUUGUUGUCCGACUCUGUUGCCUCCGGGGCGACCCUGCCUUCGGGCGGGGGCUCCGGGUGGACACUUCAAACUCUUGCGUAACUUUGCAGUCUGAGUAAAUUUAAUUAAUAAAUUAAAACUUUCAACAAUGGAUCU
This 217-nucleotide unclassified non-coding RNA is filed under the name soil metagenome. RNAcentral's name for it is "partial contains 5.8S ribosomal RNA, internal transcribed spacer 2, and large subunit ribosomal RNA". The record is from RNAcentral.